Molecule: ribosomal RNA, 500 nt
Filed under: uncultured bacterium
Lineage: Bacteria
Description: partial 16S ribosomal RNA
Rfam family: Bacterial small subunit ribosomal RNA
Source: RNAcentral
AUUGAACGCUGGCGGCAGGCCUAACACAUGCAAGUCGAGCGGAUGACGGGAGCUUGCUCCUUGAUUCAGCGGCGGACGGGUGAGUAAUGCCUAGGAAUCUGCCUGGUCGUGGGGGACAACGUUUCGAAAGGAACGCUAAUACCGGAUACGUCGUACGGGAGAAAGCAGGGGACCUUCGGGCCUUGCGCUAUAAGAUGAGCCUAGGUCGGAUUAGCUAGUUGGUGGGGUAAUGGCUCACCAAGGCGACGAUCCGUAACUGGUCUGAGAGGAUGAUCAGUCACACUGGAACUGAGACACGGUCCAGACUCCUACGGGAGGCAGCAGUGGGGAAUAUUGGACAAUGGGCGAAAGCCUGAUCCAGCCAUGCCGCGUGUGUGAAGAAGGUCUUCGGAUUGUAAAGCACUUUAAGUUGGGAGGAAGGGCAGUAAGCUAAUACCUUGCUGUUUUGACGUUACCGACAGAAUAAGCACCGGCUAACUCUGUGCCAGCAGCCGCGGUAA